Molecule: ribosomal RNA, 682 nt
Filed under: Archangium sp.
Lineage: Bacteria; Pseudomonadati; Myxococcota; Myxococcia; Myxococcales; Archangiaceae
Description: bacterial SSU rRNA
Rfam family: Bacterial small subunit ribosomal RNA
Source: RNAcentral
CCAUGCAGUCGAGCGCGAAUGGAGCAAUCCUAGUAGAGCGGCGCACGGGUGCGUAACACGUGGAUAAUCUGCCUGGGUGUCUGGGAUAACCAGUCGAAAGAUUGGCUAAUACCGGAUAAGCCCCCGGGAGCUUCGGCUCUUGAGGGAAAAGGUGGCCUCUGUAUACAAGCUAUCACAUCCAGAUGAGUCCGCGGCCCAUCAGCUAGUUGGCGGGGUAAUGGCCCACCAAGGCAACGACGGGUAGCUGGUCUGAGAGGACGAUCAGCCACACUGGAACUGAGACACGGUCCAGACUCCUACGGGAGGCAGCAGUGGGGAAUUUUGCGCAAUGGGCGAAAGCCUGACGCAGCAACGCCGCGUGUGUGAUGAAGGUCUUCGGAUUGUAAAGCACUUUCGACCGGGACGAAAACCCGUUGGCUAACAUCCAACGGCUUGACGGUACCGGGAGAAGAAGCACCGGCUAACUCUGUGCCAGCAGCCGCGGUAAUACAGAGGGUGCAAGCGUUGUUCGGAAUUAUUGGGCGUAAAGCGCGUGUAGGCGGCUUUGCAAGUCGGGUGUGAAAGCCCUCAGCUCAACUGAGGAAGUGCGCCCGAAACUGCAGAGCUUGAGUGCCGGAGAGGGUGGCGGAAUUCCCCAAGUAGAGGUGAAAUUCGUAGAUAUGGGGAGGAACACCGGUGGCGA